AGUGAACGCUGGCGGUAGGCCUAACACAUGCAAGUCGAACGGCAGCACAGUAAGAGCUUGCUCUUACGGGUGGCGAGUGGCGGACGGGUGAGGAAUACAUCGGAAUCUACUUUUUCGUGGGGGAUAACGUAGGGAAACUUACGCUAAUACCGCAUACGACCUACGGGUGAAAGCAGGGGAUCUUCGGACCUUGCGCGAUUGAAUGAGCCGAUGUCGGAUUAGCUAGUUGGCGGGGUAAAGGCCCACCAAGGCGACGAUCCGUAGCUGGUCUGAGAGGAUGAUCAGCCACACUGGAACUUAGACACGGUCCAGACUCCUACGGGAGGCAGCAGUGGGGAAUAUUGGACAAUGGGCGCAAGCCUGAUCCAGCCAUACCGCGUGGGUGAAGAAGGCCUUCGGGUUGUAAAGCCCUUUUGUUGGGAAAGAAAGGCAGCAGGUUAAUACCCCGCUGUUCUGACGGUACCCAAAGAAUAAGCACCGGCUAACUUCGUG
Molecule: ribosomal RNA, 492 nt
Filed under: uncultured bacterium
Lineage: Bacteria
Description: partial 16S ribosomal RNA
Rfam family: Bacterial small subunit ribosomal RNA
Source: RNAcentral